GAAAUCUUUCUCAGUGCAUCACUUUGUUCCCUCUACUGCAAACUUAAAGCCAAGUGCAACACAGUGCUGCAGCACUUGGUCUGGAGCAUGUGAUGAAGUAAACCCUGUGAACCCACUUACAGCUUGCUGAGUUUUAUGUUGUCCUCCAGCGUUUUGUUUCCACAUUUUACUUCUUCAUUUUUGGAGUGGAAAACAGCUCUGAAAGCACUUUUCAAGAAAGCAACGUCAAUGAAAAGCCCAACUGUUUCCAAACAGGCAAUGUCCAGGCCCAAGUCACUGCAGAUGUCCAACCAAAGUCCGUCAUUAGAGGCCAGUUGCAUAUUAUCACCUCUCAGGAUGCGGAACUUGCACUGCUGAGCAAUGCCACCCUUUGUCCUUCCCAUGCUUUCCUCUGCAUCUGAUACACAGAGCUGCAUCUGGAACUAUUUGCUGGGGUUUAGAUAUUUUCUCAUUGUGCUGUGCCAUAGCUCAAAUCCGGUAGUAGCUCUUGUGCUUCCUUUCUGAGUGCCACUGAACCUUACCUGUGUUUUGCCCAUGUAUUACCAUGGUUUCUACCUGGAUAAAGGAACAGGGAAUCUGCCAGGAGGUCUAAUGCAAGAAUCCCUCCUGUAGAUGAGUGACUCAGAGUCACUGUCUUUAGCAUCCCUGCAACAAACCCUCCACCAGCAUUUCCUGCUCCUUACCUACCUAUAGGAAAGAUGAGACAACAAAUGCAAAAAGUAGGGGCUCAACUAAGUUACCUAUACAAGGGAAUCUUGUGUUAUUGGAGAUGCCUUAGACACAACUUCAACAUAGUAUGGCAGAUAUGACACAAGAUCUGUCUCCUCCCAGAGCAGUACUGGGCACCCACAUAAGGUAUCCAAAGGUAUUGAAUGACCUGUGUGUAGGCAGCUGAGUUCUCUCAAGGCUGCACAUAGAUCCUGUGCUAGUGCAGGAAACUGCACCUCAAUAUAAUAAGUUACAGCCCUUUGUUAUCAUUUUUACAUGGUUACACUUCAUGCAGCCAAAUCAGAGUUGUCCUUGAGAACAACCAGAAUGUCCUUUAUCCAAAUCCAGAUAUCCUAUUUUGUUUAUGAUACCAAAUUCAAUGGUACAUGGAACAGAGUAAUCUCUAAAAAAAGAUAAAUGCAGGUAAACGAUGGCUGGAAGAAGUCUGGGAUAAUCAAGCACCAGGCCAUAUCCCCUCUGAGGUUCAGCAACUGGAUUUCUACAUUUGUUAUAAGAAACAGAGUGCUAUUCCCUUACAGUCACAACAACAGCAGGACAACCAUAUGAGACUGAUUAUGUUACAAUGAGCCCUGCAAUGAAAGACAUUUCACUUCAUCUGUGGCUCCAGAGCAGACUUUCUGGAUGAAAUGAGAAAGCUGUCAUGGUCUGGAAACCAAGACAAUGAACUGGGACUCAGGAGACUAGAAUGGAUAUCUGGCUCAUAAGAUAUGACCAGAAGGGAGAAUUAAAUCUUAUUAUCCGAUAUGGAAAUCAUGGCUUAAAAAUUUAAACGGUCACCCUUCUCCUGAAUCCAAUAACAGCUGUUCACCUUGGGAACUUUUGUCAUAAAGUCAUUCUGUCCCAAAACAGGAGAGCCUCAUAGAUUGCUCCAGUGGUAAAUCACCAUCACUUCUUAAUUCUCAGCUAAAUUAAUAUAGCUUCAUAUUCCAAAGUUUGGAUUUAUUAGAUCCUUUUCUGCUAGGUAGAAGGAGUCUGUAAGUCCUGCAUGUUUUUUUGUUAGAAUACUUACACAUAAGCUUAGCAGUAUGCAAUUCUGAAUAAUAAAUGCCAAUUUUACACUCUUUCCUCAGUUACAAAUGAAUACAUCUCUCUUCUUUGUCUUUCUCACAGGCACUCUGUGGGGCUGCAACAUAUAGAAUAUCUGAAAUAGCUCUGGCAUAUAUGGCACAGGACCUACAAACCACAGGUCUUCUGGGCUGGCAGCUGCAAUCCAAGCAGGGUACCUUGGGUCCUUUCAGAUGGCACCAGGCACCUCUGCUUAAGUAACAGACCUCCCUCUCUUAACUCACAUUGCAGACAUGGACAUUGUGGCUACUUUUUUUUAUUAUUAUUAUUUUUUAAUAAUUUAUUUCAAAUAUGAGAAUCUGGAGCUAAAUGCAGCCUGAGGUGUCACUGUGAGAAGCUUAGCAUUGACUCUGUGCCCUUACUUGAUCUCUGGCCUUGUUUCUUGUGUACUUCUAGAAGGGAUGCCAAGCAGUGAGCAAAUGUUCUAAAAUAAUAUUCCUACCUGUCAAAAACAGCACUUCUGAGAUGUCAUUUUAAAUAGUAAAGGAUUCUUGAAAUGAAAAAGUCCAUGUAUUCCUGAAUAAAAUCAACAACUAGAACAACUCUGUCACCAGAGACCCAUGAGUGAAGCUUUCUUUCACUUUGGAUUUUAAAGACAGUAAAUUUAUGGUCGUACUUCACUACAACAGAACAUUAGAAGAAUAUUACAUUUGUUCUGGCCCAGUGCUGAAGCAUGAUGUCACUUUAAUAAAAUCAUGGUUUGCUGAUGUCCUGGAAUCUCUAAGAUUGUUUAUAGUUCCCAGAUGAUAUUCCCUGCAAAGGUGUUUUCUGUUUCAUUUUGGUCUGGUUUUGUUUUCAGUUUGGACUUUUCACAUUCUAGAGGCAUGCUUUUUAAAAUGAAAAAGGUAUUAUAUUCUCAAACUCAGAAGAAACCCUUUGUUUAGCAAAUACCCCUUGAUCAGGACCUUGCAUAACAAUGAACAUGUUGAGUGGAUCCAUAGAAAACCGUAUAAGUCUGAGGCUAAAUAUAUCCAUGCUGGAAUAAAUAACACUUGAUGAUUGUUUGGGCUCAUUAGCAGGCAGAAGAGUAACCCAAUGGGAAAUUCAUCUUUUUCAAGCAUUGUUUCCCUCAUCAGGUGCUACGUUCUGGAUAUGUAAAAGUCCUUGGAGUAUACAGUAGAA
Molecule: long non-coding RNA, 2916 nt
Organism: Gallus gallus (chicken)
Lineage: Eukaryota; Metazoa; Chordata; Aves; Galliformes; Phasianidae
Source: Ensembl